AUUGAACGCUGGCGGCAGGCCUAACACAUGCAAGUCGAGCGGAUGAAGUGAGCUUGCUCCUGGAUUCAGCGGCGGACGGGUGAGUAAUGCCUAGGAAUCUGCCUGGUAGUGGGGGAUAACGUCCGGAAACGGGCGCUAAUACCGCAUACGUCCUGAGGGAGAAAGUUGAGGAUCUUCGGACCUCACGCUAUCAGAUGAGCCUAGGUCGGAUUAGCUAGUUGGUGGGGUAAAGGCCUACCAAGGCGACGAUCCGUAACUGGUCUGAGAGGAUGAUCAGUCACACUGGAACUGAGACACGGUCCAGACUCCUACGGGAGGCAGCAGUGGGGAAUAUUGGACAAUGGGCGAAAGCCUGAUCCAGCCAUGCCGCGUGUGUGAAGAAGGUCUUCGGAUUGUAAAGCACUUUAAGUUGGGAGGAAGGGCAGUAAGUUAAUACCUUGCUGUUUUGACGUUACCAACAGAAGAAGCACCGGCUAACUUCGU
This 483-nucleotide ribosomal RNA is filed under the name uncultured bacterium. Its description in RNAcentral is "partial 16S ribosomal RNA". It matches the Rfam family "Bacterial small subunit ribosomal RNA", at positions 30 to 506 of the family's 1533-position model. The record is from RNAcentral.